RNAcentral lists this ribosomal RNA (463 nucleotides) under uncultured bacterium. Its description in RNAcentral is "partial 16S ribosomal RNA". It matches the Rfam family "Bacterial small subunit ribosomal RNA", at positions 28 to 507 of the family's 1533-position model. The record is from RNAcentral.
GACGAACGCUGGCGGCGUGCUUAACACAUGCAAGUCGAACGGAGAACCUCUUCGGUGGGGAUCAGUGGCGAACGGGUGAGUAACACGUUGGCAACCUGCUCCCGUCUCUGGGAUAACUCCAAGAAAUCGGGGCUAAUACCGGAUGUUCACCGCUUCUCGCAUGGGGGGUGGUGGAAAGGGUUUCCGGCUGGGGGUGGGCCCGCGGCGUAUCAGCUUGUUGGUGGGGUAGUGGCCUACCAAGGCGACGACGGGUAGCCGGCCUGGGAGGGUGACCGGCCACACGGGGACUGAGACACGGCGCAGACGCGUACGGGAGGCAGCAGUGGGGAAUAUUGCGCAAUGGGCGGAAGCCUGACGCAGCGACGCCGCGUGGGGGAUGACGGCCUUCGGGUUGUAAACCUCUUUCAGCAGGGACGAAGCGGAAGUGACGGUACCUGCAGAAGAAGCACCGGCCAACUACGUG